Molecule: ribosomal RNA, 253 nt
Filed under: uncultured bacterium
Lineage: Bacteria
Description: partial 16S ribosomal RNA
Rfam family: Bacterial small subunit ribosomal RNA
Source: RNAcentral
UACGUAGGGACCGAGCGUUGUCCGGAAUCAUUGGGCGUAAAGGGCGCGUAGGCGGCUUUGCAAGUGACGGGUGAAAUCCCUCGGCUUAACCGAGGAACUGCCUGUCAAACUGCAUGGCUUGAGACCGGGAGAGGUGAGUGGAAUUCCCAGUGUAGCGGUGAAAUGCGUAGAUAUUGGGAGGAACACCAGUGGCGAAGGCGGCUCACUGGACCGGUACUGACGCUGAUGCGCGAAAGCGUGGGGAGCAAACAGG